Molecule: ribosomal RNA, 253 nt
Filed under: uncultured bacterium
Lineage: Bacteria
Description: partial 16S ribosomal RNA
Rfam family: Bacterial small subunit ribosomal RNA
Source: RNAcentral
UACGGAGGGGGCUAGCGUUGUUCGGAAUUACUGGGCGUAAAGCGCGCGUAGGCGGCUUUGUAAGUUAGAGGUGAAAGCCCGGAGCUCAACUCCGGAACUGCCUUUAAGACUGCAUCGCUAGAAUUGUGGAGAGGUAAGUGGAAUUCCGAGUGUAGAGGUGAAAUUCGUAGAUAUUCGGAAGAACACCAGUGGCGAAGGCGACUUACUGGACACAUAUUGACGCUGAGGUGCGAAAGCGUGGGGAGCGAACAGG